CAAGAAAUAGUUUAAAUAAAAUAUUAGUUUUGGGGAUUAAUGAUAAAGAAAUUUCUUUUUUCUUGA
Molecule: transfer RNA, 66 nt
Filed under: Lonchoptera multiseta
Lineage: Eukaryota; Metazoa; Arthropoda; Insecta; Diptera; Lonchopteridae
Description: tRNA-Pro
Source: RNAcentral